AUGUCAAAGGGAAAAGCCAUGUACCAGAGGCAGAAGGUAUGUGUGUGCUAUUGUCAGCUUUGUGUGGGUUUAGUUGGUUAUUUGUUGUCAUGGCUUGUGGCAAACAAACAUAAAUUGUCCCUUGUGACAGGUCCAUCCACUUCUAGGCUCGUGAACCCGAAUAUUAGGAAGCGGCUUGGCACGGAUCUACUAUCAAGCUUGGGUGCUGCCACUGGUAAUGUGGCCAGGCGCCUUGAUUUGAAUUUGGCGAGUGACGUUUGUGAUUUCAUAAAUGGGACACCAUUUGUGCGUCCGAUGAACCCUAUGCCCGUCGACACAAAUUUAACCAUUGGUCCUUCCCCAUUCAGAGAACCACCUGCAGUUUUGCGGCCCCCCGAACUCACGCAGAGCAAAUUGCUUGGGUGGUUUGCUAUAGCUCCGCCAAAUAAACGCCCAAGGAUGACUACUGACUACUCGAUUGCAAACCCGGUUGGAGUAGCUGUUUCUGAGAUGGAGGGGCGGAGAAGAGAUGAGUGUUUCUAUGCAAUGGCCAUGGAUUCAUCAGUCAAUGAUUUAUUUAGGGUGUGGUUCAAGCAUGGGCGCCCAUAUCUCAUUGAGAUGACUGGUGAGGAGGUGCUGGAAGAGUUCCACAUCGAUAAAACACUUGCCCAAAAAGGCCUUGACUCCAUUCUACGUUUGGGGAUCUGCCCCCCGGCAUCAGGGAGACUGAUCAUUGGGCCUGAUUAG
This 726-nucleotide ribosomal RNA is filed under the name Triticum aestivum (bread wheat). RNAcentral's name for it is "partial small subunit ribosomal RNA". The record is from RNAcentral. Lineage: Eukaryota; Viridiplantae; Streptophyta; Magnoliopsida; Poales; Poaceae.